ACAUUUAUAUAUCUUCUACGACUAUACAGCUGGUUAGCAGAUAUAUGAAGAAGCAGGCAGCCCCCACCACCUAUCUCUCCCCAAAACCUUCCAUUCCGUUAUAUCUUUAAUUUCUCACCCGAAAGAAUCAAAUAAUCAUUGUGUUCAUCAUAUCAUAAUGCUCCUGAUCCAUAUAUAUGAUUCCCAUUCCACUCAAAUUUUUUAUCACCUCAAUCCGAGGCUGAUAUUCCGGGAAUAAAGACAGUUUCUUUAUGAUGCCGGCCAUGGCCGCCACUCAUCUGAGAUCGAUCGAAUUGAACCCAUAUGGGAAGCUUCAUCUUUGAGGGGAAUGUUGUCUGGCUCGAAGCCGCCAUUAAUCGUAUCGUAUCUCCUUCGAUCCAUCUUUAAUGGUGUCUUCGGACCAGGCUUCAUUCCCCUCAAUCACUCCUUCCACCGAUUUCAUCACUGCCUGCUAGCCAGCUUCUUUAAUUUACUUUAAAUUAAAGGAGAUUCUUGAAUUGAUUUGGGUUAUAUGAUCUGAAGUAAGUCUUGCCCACAGUUUAAUUUCAUGUGAAUUAUUGAAGAGUUUGUUUUGUAUUUUGCAGGGAGCUGAGGAAUAUGAAUUGGCAUAAUGAUGAAGGGCUUUGACCCUACCUUUCUGUUCUUCUUCUUUGUUGUUGAGGUUGAAGACAAUAAAUUGAUGAUUAUAUUGCUGGGUUCUAGCACGUAUAGUACGCACAACCGCAGUAGAAAUUAAUGGUGAAUUUCUAAUUUACUUUUGGCCCAUGUUCAUCAUCAUGGCUGUGUGAUUUCUGUGUCUUUAAUUCCUACUACAUCAAUUGAACUUUUUGAGUCUAGACUGCUUCAUCAUCAUCAUCAUAUCAUAUGAUUGAGUAAAUUAGGGCUUCUUUUCCCCUCAUCAUUGCAGCAACCUUCUUCAAUUCUUCUUCUACAUGCAACCAUAUUUCUAGGGUUUUGUCUCUCCAUAUACACAAACAGUACCAGUAAAAUAGUAGGUGUUAAUGAGUUCAGACGGACAACUUAAUUGAUUCUUGAAUGGUAGAUUGUGAAGUGAAAAUCAAGAAUUAAUGAGCAAAGUUGGAUCUUUUUGCUUAAUUUCCUUUUCUGGAGUUUUCUUUUUUCCUUGUCUUUUUCCCUAAUCCAAGAUUCCUUUUUUAGUUUCAAUUUCUGCAAUAAUUCCUUAUUUACAGCAAUAUAUACGGAGUAUUAAACACGUGAUUGGUGGGUGUUGAUUAAUCCAUGGCCGUAAAGAUAUGAUCUUUGGGUAGUCAAAUGUAUGAUAUCCUGAGCUAAGGGAGUGUAAUAAGAUUCUUUACGCAACACUUUGCCUACAAAAAACUAACACACAAAGAAUACGUAGACGUCCACUUAGCUUGCCGGUUUCUGCAUGACCAAAUCAGUCAUGGAACGUGUUUGGGAGUUGAGAUCAUUGGGAACAACGCGGAAGUUACGUACUGCACACAAAAGCUGACUGCCACAAACAUAUCUGAAGUUGACAACAGCUAAGCCUAUCAAACUCCA
Long non-coding RNA from Ipomoea nil (Japanese morning glory), 1521 nucleotides. RefSeq lists it as uncharacterized. Lineage: Eukaryota; Viridiplantae; Streptophyta; Magnoliopsida; Solanales; Convolvulaceae. The record is from RefSeq and is a predicted model, not a curated record. The transcript has 2 exons.